GGCAUGGGAUGGGGUCGCGUCCUAUCAGCUUGUUGGCGGGGUGAUGGCCUGCCAAGGCUUCGACGGGUAGCCGGCCUGAGAGGGCGACCGGCCACAUUGGGACUGAGAUACGGCCCAGACUCCUACGGGAGGCAGCAGUGGGGAAUAUUGCACAAUGGGCGAAAGCCUGAUGCAGCGACGCCGCGUGCGGGAUGACGGCCUUCGGGUUGUAAACCGCUUUUGAUUGGGAGCAAGCGAGAGUGAGUGUACCUUUCGAAUAAGCACCGGCUAACUACGUGCCAGCAGCCGCGGUAAUACGUAGGGUGCAAGCGUUAUCCGGAUUUAUUGGGCGUAAAGGGCUCGUAGGCGGUUCGUCGCGUCUGGUGUGAAAGUCCAUCGCUUAACGGUGGAUCGGCGCCGGGUACGGGCGGACUGGAGUGCGGUAGGGGAGACUGGAAUUCC
Molecule: ribosomal RNA, 441 nt
Filed under: uncultured Bifidobacterium sp.
Lineage: Bacteria; Bacillati; Actinomycetota; Actinomycetes; Bifidobacteriales; Bifidobacteriaceae
Description: bacterial SSU rRNA
Rfam family: Bacterial small subunit ribosomal RNA
Source: RNAcentral